CCCUUAGAGUUUGAUCCUGGCUCAGAAUCAACGCUGGCGGCGUGCCUCAGACAUGCAAGUCGAACGAUUAAGACUCCCUUCGGGGAGUGCAUAAAGUGGCGCACGGGUGAGUAACACGUAGGUAAUCUACCUUUGAGUGGGGAAUAACAUCGGGAAACCGAUGCUAAUACCGCAUAAUGCAGCGGCACCUAAUGGUGACAGUUGUUAAAGAUUUAUCGCUUAAAGAGGAGCCUGCGGCGGAUUAGCUAGUUGGUAAGGUAAUGGCUUACCAAGGCAACGAUCUGUAACCGACCUGAGAGGGUGGUCGGUCACACUGACACUGAAUAACGGGUCAGACUCCUACGGGAGGCAGCAGUCGGGAAUUUUGGGCAAUGGGCGAAAGCCUGACCCAGCAACGCCGCGUGAAGGAUGAAGUAUUUCGGUAUGUAAACUUCGUAAGAAUGGGAAGAAUAAAUGACGGUACCAUUUGUAAGGUCCGGCUAACUACGUGCCAGCAGCCGCGGUAAUACGUAGGGACCAAGCGUUGUUCGGAUUUACUGGGCGUAAAGGGUGCGUAGGCGGCGUGUCAAGUCAGUUGUGAAAUCUUAAGGCUUAACCUUAAGCGGUCAACUGAUACUGUCAUGCUAGAGUGCAGAAGGGGCAAUCGGAAUUCUUGGUGUAGCGGUGAAAUGCGUAGAUAUCAAGAGGAACACCUGAGGUGAAAGACAGGUUGCUGGGCUGACACUGACGCUGAGCACGAAAGCUAGGGUAGCAAACGGGAUAGAUACCCCGGUAGUCUAGCC
Molecule: ribosomal RNA, 782 nt
Filed under: uncultured bacterium
Lineage: Bacteria
Description: bacterial SSU rRNA
Rfam family: Bacterial small subunit ribosomal RNA
Source: RNAcentral